Molecule: long non-coding RNA, 75 nt
Organism: Etheostoma cragini (Arkansas darter)
Lineage: Eukaryota; Metazoa; Chordata; Actinopteri; Perciformes; Percidae
Exons: 3
Source: RefSeq, a predicted model, not a curated record
AGAGGGGCAAGACAAGCAGGGAAUAGCCACAUGUCGGAUUCGAACCCUUGACCUCUGCGUCGAGGUAUAAACCUC